This 435-nucleotide ribosomal RNA is filed under the name uncultured bacterium. RNAcentral's name for it is "partial 16S ribosomal RNA". It matches the Rfam family "Bacterial small subunit ribosomal RNA", at positions 28 to 507 of the family's 1533-position model. The record is from RNAcentral.
GAUGAACGCUGGCGGUAUGCUUAACACAUGCAAGUCGAACGGACUCUUCGGAGUUAGUGGCGGCCGGGUGAGAAACGCGUGAUAAUCUGGCUUUGGGUUCGGGACCACCACUGGAAACGGUGGCUAAUACCGGGUGUGCCGAGAGGUAAAAGAGAAAUUGCCUGAAGAUGAGCUCGCGUCUGAUUAGCUAGUUGGUGGGGUAAAGGCACACCAAGGCAGCGAUCAGUAGCGGGUCUGAGGGGAUGACCAGCCACACGGGGACUGAGACACGGCACAGACUCCCACGGGAGGGAGGAGGGGGAAAUUGUCCGAAAUGGGCGAAAGUCUGACAGAGCAAUACCGCGUGAGGGAAGAGGGCUCUUGGGGUGUAAACCUCUUUUCAUAGAGAAGAACAAAAUGACGGUACCUAAGGAAGAAGCAUCGGCUAACUACGUG